UACGUAGGGUCCGAGCGUUGUCCGGAAUUAUUGGGCGUAAAGGGCUCGUAGGCGGUUUGUCGCGUCGGGAGUGAAAACGCCGGGCUUAACCCGGUGCUUGCUUUCGAUACGGGCAGACUGGAGGUAUGCAGGGGAGAACGGAAUUCCUGGUGUAGCGGUGAAAUGCGCAAAUAUCAGGAGGAACACCGGUGGCGAAGGCGGGUCUCUGGGCCGAUACUGACGCUGAGGAGCGAAAGCGUGGGGAGCGAACAGG
This 253-nucleotide ribosomal RNA is filed under the name uncultured bacterium. Its description in RNAcentral is "partial 16S ribosomal RNA". It matches the Rfam family "Bacterial small subunit ribosomal RNA", at positions 524 to 776 of the family's 1533-position model. The record is from RNAcentral.